RNAcentral lists this ribosomal RNA (1684 nucleotides) under Chlamydia trachomatis. RNAcentral's name for it is "bacterial LSU rRNA". It matches the Rfam family "Bacterial large subunit ribosomal RNA", at positions 1229 to 2925 of the family's 2925-position model. The record is from RNAcentral. Lineage: Bacteria; Pseudomonadati; Chlamydiota; Chlamydiia; Chlamydiales; Chlamydiaceae.
UAGAGGAGCAAUGUCUAAGAGGCGAAGCAUAAGGCGUAAGCCAAUGUGGAUUUUAGAGAAGAGAGAAUGCUGGCAUGAGUAGCGAGAGGUGAGUGAGAAUCUCACCCGUCGAAAACCCAAGGUUUCCUGAGCAAGGCUCGUCCACUCAGGGUAAGUCGGGACCUAAGGCGAGGCUGAAAAGCGUAGUCGAUGGAAAACAGGUGGAAAUUCCUGUACCGAUAUCAAGCGUUAAAAAGUAAGUGGGGACGCAGGAGGAUAGCAGCAGCGCCCAGUUGGUGAGGCGUGCAAGCACAAAGGCUAAGAGUGAGGCAAAUCCCGCUCUUAUUAAGGCUGAAGUGUGAAGCGGAUCGAAAAACAAGUAGAGAAGGAUGUAACUCCACACUGCCAAGAAAAGCCACUAUCAAGUAAGAUAUCGCCCGUACCGUAAACCGACACAGGUAGGUGAGGAGAGAAUCCUAAGACGAGCGGAAGAACCUUUGUUAAGGAACUCGGCAAAAUGACCCCGUAAGUUAGCGAGAAGGGGAGCCCCUGAAUAGGGGGCCGCAGUGAAAAGGCCCAAGCGACUGUUUACCAAAAACACAAGUUUCUGCAAAGUCGAAAGACGAAGUAUAGGAGCUGACACCUGCCCGGUGCUGGAAGGUUAAGGGGAAGAGUUAGUCGAAAGGCGAAGCUUAGAACCGAAGCCCCAGUAAACGGCGGCCGUAACUAUAACGGUCCUAAGGUAGCGAAAUUCCUUGUCGGGUAAGUUCCGACCCGCACGAAAGGUGUAACGAUUUGGGCACUGUCUCAACAAAGGAUCCGGUGAAAUUGUAGUAGCGGUAAAGAUGCCGCUUACCCACGACAGGACGGAAAGACCCCGUGGAGCUUUACUGUAGGUUGACAUUGGAUUUUGAGUUUGAAUGUACAGGAUAGGUGGGAGACUAAGAAGCAAGUGCGCCAGCAUUUGUGGAGUCAACCUUUGGAUACCACCCUUUCAAGCUUAGGAUUCUAACCUAACCCCUUGAAUCAGGGGAAGGGACACUGUCAGUCGGGCAGUUUGACUGGGGCGGUCGCCUCCGAAAGAGUAACGGAGGCGUUCAAAGGUUCCCUCAGCACGGACGGAAAUCGUGCGAAGAGUGCAAAGGCAAAAGGGAGCUUAACUGCGAGACCAACAAGUCGAGCAGAUAGGAAACUAGGACUUAGUGAUCCGGUGGUACCGAGUGGAAGGGCCAUCGCUCAACGGAUAAAAGCUACCCCGGGGAUAACAGGCUUAUCUCCCCCAAGAGUCCACAUCGACGGGGAGGUUUGGCACCUCGAUGUCGGCUCGUCUCAUCCUGGGGCUGAAGUAGGUCCCAAGGGUUGGGCUGUUCGCCCAUUAAAGAGGCACGCGAGCUGGGUUCAGAACGUCGUGAGACAGUUCGGUCCCUAUCCGUCGUGGGCGUAGGAAAUUUGAGAGGAGCUAUCCUUAGUACGAGAGGACCGGGAUGGACGAACCUCUGGUGCAUCAGUUGUCUUGCCAAAGGCACAGCUGAGUAGCUAAGUUCGGACGGGAUAAGAGCUGAAGGCAUCUAAGCACGAAGCCCCCCUCAAGAUGAGAUUUCCCCGUAGAUAAGACCCCUUGAAGAAAACGAGGUAGAUAGGCUCAAGGUGUAAGAGUAGUAAUACUUUAAGCUAACGAGUACUAAUAGGUCGAAGACUUGAUCAA